This 2590-nucleotide long non-coding RNA is filed under the name Gallus gallus (chicken). RNAcentral's name for it is "lncRNA (ENSGALG00010026572.1)". Lineage: Eukaryota; Metazoa; Chordata; Aves; Galliformes; Phasianidae. The record is from RNAcentral.
UGGGAAGGGACUUAACAAUUUCAGCGUCAAGGGAUGUAUGCUGGGUAGUCCUGGGGAGUAAGGCUAUGCAUCUCUAAAUUUCAGCAGAAAUGCUGUUUUAAAGCGGCACAGACCACUGCUAACUGUAUGCCUGAGAGACCCCAUGGAGAGCGGGAACACCAGAUGUGCACCAGCCCCACCAGCUUCUGGCUUCUUGGACAGAGGGGAGCUGUAAGAUCUCUCCCAGGACUUCCAUGGGCAUCACAGACUGCACUGGCACCAAGCUGGGGUGCAGAGCCUUAGGAGGUAUUCUAUAGCUUAGCAAGAACAGAAAGGCUUGCUCCAGUUUCACAUGGAUGUACUCAAGCAGCCGGAUCCUUCUGCUCUGUCCUAAUUCCUUGUGUUGCAGAUAUCCUGCAGAUGAUGGCAACAGAAAAUGAAAGUUUUCUUUCUAAGCCUCAGUAAACACGUGCAGCAGAGGCCAGGAAGAAAAGAACGGCUUGAUUUUAAACCACUGCUGGUGGAAUCUAAGCUGCUGGAGAUAUGAAUUAUUUUGGCUACACGUACAGCCUGUCAUGCAUUCCAAUCUGCCUUCCUUCUCAGCCUUCAGCGACUGUGGCACAACAAUUAGCUCCAUUAUCUGCAAUGGGACACAAGAUGCAGCCUCUGCAUUUCCACAUCAAGACACCGACAGCCAAUGCCUUGAUCCGACAUGUUCUGUUCAAGGACAGCUUGCAAGACAGCGUCUUGUCUCACACACCGUGAUAUGAGGUCUUCAUCCAUGGUUGAAAUACAGGAAAUGCUGAGAUGGAAAGGCAGUGCCAGAGCUGUGAAGGCCUCUCGCAGUCCGUUGUGUUGUAAACUGGGAGAAAACUCAGCAGGGACAGCUCAUCUGAACUUCCUGAGGGAUUCUGAAUUUAGCCCUUCGCUCAGUAGUGUCACUUCAUAUGAGUAUAAUGGAAAUGGAUCUGGACUCUCCCUUCACUUUUUAUAGUAAAGCUCUUAUCUUGAUCUGUAGCAGCCCAGCCAAGAAAAGACACUGGAAGACCUCAUGGGCAUGGUCUCACGUCUUCAGGUUACAGGCGUGCAGCUCCAUCCACUUGUAGCAGCAUUCCUCCAGUGCUAUCAUGAGAUUCACUGGUGAUGUUCUGUAAAUGCCAGCCAAAAUCUAUCUGCAAGAACAUCUGCUCAACAGUGCAAAACUGAUGUAAUUACCAACCAUCAUCUUUUAUCCUCCUGCUGGGGCAACUGCUCCAAAGCAUGACUUUUUGCCCUGAGCUAACAAGAUCCAGAGGCUCGCUGCUAUGUACAAAUCCCGCCGCUGAAAACUAACAUGGCUGAUACACAAAUUCUCACAGGAUCUUUCAGCUGCGAGGGGUAACACGUACCCAAACAAGCUUCACCGUGGUCAGUGGAGGAGCCCCAAACUCAGGAUACCCGCAACACACACCUGGAAAUACUGCAGCAUGGGCAGAGAAGUGAAGGUAUUUGAAAGGAGACCAGAAAGGACUGCGUGGGCUCUAGGGCUUCAUGCACUGGAUAAGCAGCCCCAAGUAUUUCAAGGUUGCACUCAACUGCCUGGACAGGAACCCGAAGUCUGCUGUCAGUGCCUUUGCUGAGAUCACGGGAGAGUAACGGGAGACAAAGAUCAAUCUGCACCCCAGCUGCACGAUGCUGGCUGCCAGGGGGGAUGCAUGCACUGGGCUGACAUCAAGAGGUGAGCAGGGCACGCACCUGUGUCAUACACUGGUCUGACUUCACUGACCGGAAAGGAGGAUGGAGCCUGAAAAUGUAAAUGGAGCAACGAAUAGGACAAGGAAAAGAAAGCAAGCAGGCAAGAAUGAAAAACAGAACUAGCUAAAUAACUGGCAGUGUUUCGGGAGAAGCCCAUCCUAUCGCAGAGAGCGACAACAGCCUCGGUAUUAUGAUUUAUGGAGUGCUGGUGUCACUCUAACAAGCUGAAGGACACACAAUAUCAUCUCCAACAUCAUUAAAAUUCAGAAGCCUCUAGAACUAACUCAUCAACCACCGCGCAUUGUCACACGCUAUGGAGCUGAGCUGUUCCCCACUUGGAAAAUGCCUUCCGGACAGUCGUCAUCCUGAAUCAUCUGAUUAAAAGGAUACAAAGAGAAGGAACGGAAAGGAAAGGGGGAAAGAGAGAGAAGCCAAACUCCACGGACAUUCUGGAAAUGAGGGACCUGCAACGGUUUCAUUCCCAUAGCAGAGCGGUGCUAUUAGUUCCUAUCACCUACAACAAAAUGAGUUCUCUGCCUUCUUCUGUUGCUGGAAUACGGGAGGCCCAAAAAGCAGGAGGUCUCCUGGAAAUAGCUGCUCCGUUCAAACCGCAGCUAUGAGGCCGCGACACGAUAAGCAAAAGCCGUGCAUUACUUUAGCUCAUGCUGUACCACGAAACUUCUAUUUUAUUGAAGUUCGGCUGUGCGCUCUGCCUCAGACCGCAGCUGUCCCUCCAUCCCAGGCGCCCGUUCUCCCUCCUUUUCCGCAGAAAAAGGCCAAACCCGCGCUCCCGGCACCGCGGUCCCACAAAGGCUAAAGCAGAACGGAUGCGGAUCCGGCCGCCUCCCUGAGCCCCGGCCCGGCCCCGCGCCCCCCG